Molecule: transfer RNA, 73 nt
Filed under: Camelus bactrianus (Bactrian camel)
Lineage: Eukaryota; Metazoa; Chordata; Mammalia; Artiodactyla; Camelidae
Also listed under: 1 other name
Rfam family: tRNA
About the family: Transfer RNA (tRNA) molecules are approximately 80 nucleotides in length. Their secondary structure includes four short double-helical elements and three loops (D, anti-codon, and T loops).
Source: Rfam by way of RNAcentral
GAGGGUAUAGCUCAAGUGGUGGGGCGCAUGCCUAGCAUGCAUGCGGUCCUGGGUUCAAUUCCCCGUACCGCCU